AGGACGAACGCUGGCGGCGUGCUUAACACAUGCAAGUCGAGCGGAAAGGCCCUUCGGGGUACUCGAGCGGCGAACGGGUGAGUAACACGUGAGUAACCUGCCCUAGGCUUUGGGAUAACCCUCGGAAACGGGGGCUAAUACUGGAUAUUCCCGCGGGAUCGCAUGGUUUUGUGGGGAAAGGUUUUCCGGCUUGGGAUGGGCUCGCGGCCUAUCAGCUUGUUGGUGGGGUGAUGGCCUACCAAGGCGACGACGGGUAGCC
RNAcentral lists this ribosomal RNA (259 nucleotides) under uncultured bacterium. RNAcentral's name for it is "partial small subunit ribosomal RNA". It matches the Rfam family "Bacterial small subunit ribosomal RNA", at positions 26 to 288 of the family's 1533-position model. The record is from RNAcentral.